UUUAAGUAGAGUUAGGGAGAUUCUUCAGAAUUGUGAUGGUAAUGAUGCAAAGGUUUUGUUGGCAAUUCAGAAUCAAGAAGGAGAAACUCCCCUCUAUGCAGCAGCUGAGCAUGGGCAUGCGAUGGUAGCUGCAGAGAUGCUGGGAUACAUGGACCUGGAGACUGCAUCUGUUGCAGCUAGGAAUGGAUUUGAUCCAUUCCACAUUGCAGCAAAGCAGGGUCAUCUGGAGGUGUUGAAGGAGCUUUUGCAUGGAUUCCCCAACUUGGUCAUGACCACAGACUUAUCCUGUACAACCGCCUUACACACAGCUGCCACUCAAGGUUACGUUGAUGUGGUCAAUCUUCUUCUGGAAACAGAUUCAAAUCUAGUUAAAAUUGCUCGGAAUAAUGGUAAAACUGCCCUUCAUUCAGCUGCAAGGAUGGGGCACCUUGAAGUUGUGAGAUCCUUAUUAGGCAAGGAUCCAAGCACUGGCCUUAGAACUGAUAAAAAAGGACAAACUGCACUGCACAUGGCUGUGAAAGGGCAAAAUGAGGAAAUUGUGCUGGAAUUGUUAAAACCUGACCCCUCUGUUAUGAGUUUGGAAGAUAAUAAAGGGAACACAGCAUUGCAUAUUGCAACAAAGAAGGGCCGUACACAGAAUGUACGUUGCUUGUUAUCAGUUGAGGGUAUCACUGUCAAUGCAACUAACAAGGCUGGAGAGACCCC
RNAcentral lists this unclassified non-coding RNA (705 nucleotides) under Hevea brasiliensis (rubber tree). Lineage: Eukaryota; Viridiplantae; Streptophyta; Magnoliopsida; Malpighiales; Euphorbiaceae. The record is from RNAcentral.